This 1514-nucleotide long non-coding RNA is filed under the name Monodelphis domestica (gray short-tailed opossum). RNAcentral describes it as "lncRNA (ENSMODG00000047418.1)". The record is from RNAcentral. Lineage: Eukaryota; Metazoa; Chordata; Mammalia; Didelphimorphia; Didelphidae.
ACAAUGCCUUACAAAAUCUGGGUUUUCUAGGCAUUGAAUAGAUUAAUUUGAUUUGUAUUAUUCCUUAUAGGAAGAAAUCAUUUGGUAUUCAACAUGCCUUCUGGAACAAAUUAAUGACAAGUACCAAGGUUCAUCAAAGAAGUUCAAAUGGGGAAUCCUGGGCUACAGUUGAGAAGCUGAACUUGCAAGUCUUCUAAGAACCUGAACGUGGCAAGCACUUUAAAGGCAGAAGGAGGAGCACUAUAUGGAAGUUGCAUUGAGACAUAUUUGGGCUCUGUAUUCAAAAGAUCUACCUACUGACCAGACUCUCCAGAAGAAGAACCACCAAAAGGUUAAGUGGGCUCAUCCACCAGUCACUGAAGAUCUUCAGCAGGAUUUGAAUGAUCUAUUGUGUUUCUUGACAUCCCUCCACCUGUUACCUUUUCAAGAUGAAUAAGGAACUGGAAACACCUGAUGGGACUUGUCUCUGACACCAACCCAACAACGCAAAAUGAGGGCGCAGAAGUGCCCAAACUUAGAAAAGAGCUUCCUCUCUGUUGCUUUAUUCCCUGGACACAAUGUUUCUCACUCCAGAUCCUAUUUUUCAUUUUGGGUGAUCCAUAACUUGGAACCAGAGUAUUCGAACAGGGGUGCCAACUCUUUUUGCUGUAUAGAAUUCUGAGAACUAGAUGCAUACCAAACCAUUUUCUUUUACAGACACCAGAAGGCUUUGAAUGACCUAAAAUUUCUUAAGAGAAACCGCUGGGUAUGACUUGGUCUCUUGGCACUCCCCUCCCCCUCUGUCCUCAUUCCCUCUGUAAUUACAGAAACUGAAUUACUAAUGUGUGCUCCUCUGUUCUUUCUUCCCCCACCCCUCCUUUCCUCCUUUUGUAUUAUUCAGUAAGCAAGAUUGUAUCUUUUCACAUAAUUUGAAAAAUAACACCUUCAAUAUGAAGAAAAAGUGAUUGAAAAGAAACAGUAUUCCUUUUCUUUUCUCUUUUGUAAUGCAGACUGUAUGAUACUUUCUAUAAGUCACAGUUUCUUUAUUAUGUCAAUGUUUUUCUUCUAGGAGGUGUUAUGUUCCAAUUGAUAGCCCUGAAAAUAAUAUAGUGUUUUACGAAGUUCUGAAAACAUAAUUUUGCUUGGAAAUUCAUCUCUCCUUCCUCAGAGAAUUCAUGUGUGAUGGUUCUGUAACCCUUCAGUGAACCAGAUGCUUUAAGAGAGUGUGAAUUUUCUGACCCCUAGAAGAGUGGGCAUUAUUGUGAAUCCUGCUAGAGGAAAGGAGAGGGACCGAAAUCUGGUGAAAACUAAAGACCCAAAUCUCUCAUUGUUACCCUGUGGGGAGAUUUGGGUAUUUUAAAAAUCGAUUCCUUAUUCCUUCCCACCUUGACUGUACCAACAACUCUUAGCUUGAACCGAAUGUCCAGUCCUGGAUCAAGACAAAGAGAUUGGGAUGAGCUUUGGAUAAAUAGGCUGUUUUCAAGUCAUCUGAAUUUUGCUCAUCAGUAAUAAAGGCAUGUCUGAGCCAAUGGGCA